This 507-nucleotide ribosomal RNA is filed under the name uncultured bacterium. RNAcentral's name for it is "partial 16S ribosomal RNA". It matches the Rfam family "Bacterial small subunit ribosomal RNA", at positions 28 to 523 of the family's 1533-position model. The record is from RNAcentral.
GAUGAACGCUGGCUACAGGCUUAACACAUGCAAGUCGAGGGGAAACGAUAGAGAAAGCUUGCUUUUUCUAGGCGUCGACCGGCGCACGGGUGAGUAACGCGUAUCCAACCUGCCCAUCACUUGGGGAUAACCUUGCGGAAGUAAGACUAAUACCCAAUGACGUCUCUAGAAGACAUCUGAAAGGGAUUAAAGAUUUAUCGGUGAUGGAUGGGGAUGCGUCUGAUUAGCUUGUUGGCGGGGUAACGGCCCACCAAGGCGACGAUCAGUAGGGGUUCUGAGAGGAAGGUCCCCCACAUUGGAACUGAGACACGGUCCAAACUCCUACGGGAGGCAGCAGUGAGGAAUAUUGGUCAAUGGACGAGAGUCUGAACCAGCCAAGUAGCGUGCAGGAUGACGGCCCUAUGGGUUGUAAACUGCUUUUAUAAGGGAAUAAAGUGAGAGUCGUGACUCUUUUUGCAUGUACCUUAUGAAUAAGACCGGCUAAUUCCGUGCCAGCCGCCGCGGUAA